GCGUAAUAGCUCACUGGUCGAGUCGGCCUGCGCGGAAGAUGUAACGGGGCUAAACCAUGCACCGAAGCUGCGGCAGCGACACUAUGUGUUGUUGGGUAGGGGAGCGUUCUGUAAGCCUGUGAAGGUGUACUGUGAGGGUUGCUGGAGGUAUCAGAAGUGCGAAUGCUGACAUAAGUAACGAUAAAGCGGGUGAAAAGCCCGCUCGCCGGAAGACCAAGGGUUCCUGUCCAACGUUAAUCGGGGCAGGGUGAGUCGACCCCUAAGGC
Molecule: ribosomal RNA, 266 nt
Filed under: Escherichia coli
Lineage: Bacteria; Pseudomonadati; Pseudomonadota; Gammaproteobacteria; Enterobacterales; Enterobacteriaceae
Description: partial 23S ribosomal RNA
Rfam family: Bacterial large subunit ribosomal RNA
Source: RNAcentral